AUUGAACGCUGGCGGCAGGCCUAACACAUGCAAGUCGAGCGAGCGGCGGACGGGUGAGGAAUGUAUGGGGACUGCCCGCUAGAGGGGGGUAUCUACUGGCAACGGUAGCUAAUACCGCAUACUAUCGGAUAACCCAUAUGGGAUUGGCUAGUAGGUGAGGUAAUGGCUCACCUAGGCGACGAUCCCUAGCUGGUCUGAGAGGAUGAUCACCCACACGGGGACUGAGACACGGCCCAGACUCCUGCGGAGGCAGCAGGGGGGAAUAUUGCCCAAGGGGCGCAAGCCUGAUGCAGCCAGGCCUCGUGUAUGAAGAAGGCCCUAGGGUUGUAAAGUACUUUCAGUCGGGAGGCGUUACCGACAGAAGAAGCACCGGCUAACUCCGUGCCAGCAGCCGCGGUAAUAC
RNAcentral lists this ribosomal RNA (403 nucleotides) under uncultured bacterium. RNAcentral's name for it is "partial 16S ribosomal RNA". It matches the Rfam family "Bacterial small subunit ribosomal RNA", at positions 30 to 526 of the family's 1533-position model. The record is from RNAcentral.